Molecule: ribosomal RNA, 253 nt
Filed under: uncultured bacterium
Lineage: Bacteria
Description: partial 16S ribosomal RNA
Rfam family: Bacterial small subunit ribosomal RNA
Source: RNAcentral
CACGUAGGGCGCAAGCGUUGUCCGGAAUUAUUGGGCGUAAAGAGCUCGUAGGUGGUUUGUUACGUCCGCUGUGAAAUCCUAGGGCUUAACCCUGGGCUUGCAGUGGAUACGGGCAGACUAGAGGUAGGUAGGGGAGAAUGGAAUUCCUGGUGUAGCGGUGAAAUGCGCAGAUAUCAGGAAGAACACCCGUGGCGAAGGCGGCUCUCUGGGACGGUACUGACGCUGAGACGCGAAAGCGUGGGGAGCGAACAGG